AUGCGCUAUGAUGAGCGGUACACACCUUAUGUUAGGGAGGCAGGACUUCUCCCUUUCAUUGAGUUGGUCCGCCGGUCGACGCCACCCAACAAUGCUGCAGCACUCACCGCGCUUAUUGAUCAUUGGAGGCCGGAGACACACACUUUCCAUCUUCGGACCGGGGAGAUGACCGUGAUGCUGCAGGAUAUUGCUAUGAUCACCGGUCUUCCUAUCGAUGGCAAUCCUUUAUGUAUGAACACCGAUUCUGAAGGGUGGCGCGCGCAGAUGCAAGCCCUUAUCGGUAUGAUUCCUCCGGAGCCUCGGGAGCUAGAAGUAGGACAUAAGAAGGAAAGAGUCGCAGCGGGCGCUACUUUCACGUGGAUAUCAUCGAACUUCGCUCAUUGCCCCGAUGAUGCUAAUGAGGACAUGGUGAAGACAUAUGCUCGUGUCUACAUGUGGUACGUGAUAUCGAGGACAAUGUUUGCUGAUGGCACAGGCAAGAAUGCUCCAUGGAUGUGGCUGAAGGCGUUGACCGUCUUCGAUAGCAAAUGGAGUUGGGGUUCGGCGACACUAGCUUACUUGUAUCGACAUUUGGACGAUGCCAGUUGUAGGCACACUGGAGGUAUUGGUGGUUGUCUGCUCGCACUUUCCAUAUGA
Molecule: ribosomal RNA, 636 nt
Filed under: Triticum aestivum (bread wheat)
Lineage: Eukaryota; Viridiplantae; Streptophyta; Magnoliopsida; Poales; Poaceae
Description: partial small subunit ribosomal RNA
Source: RNAcentral